This 655-nucleotide ribosomal RNA is filed under the name uncultured bacterium. RNAcentral's name for it is "bacterial SSU rRNA". It matches the Rfam family "Bacterial small subunit ribosomal RNA", at positions 59 to 686 of the family's 1533-position model. The record is from RNAcentral.
CAGUCGACGCUUCUUUUUCCACCGGAGCUUGCUCCACCGGAAAAAGAGGAGUGGCGAACGGGUGAGUAACACGUGGGUAACCUGCCCAUCAGAAGGGGAUAACACUUGGAACCAGGUGCUAAUACCGUAUAACAAUCGAAACCGCAUGGUUUUGAUUUGAAAGGCGCUUUCGGGUGUCGCUGAUGGAUGGACCCGCGGUGCAUUAGCUAGUUGGUGAGGUAACGGCUCACCAAGGCCACGAUGCAUAGCCGACCUGAGAGGGUGAUCGGCCACAUUGGGACUGAGACACGGCCCAAACUCCUACGGGAGGCAGCAGUAGGGAAUCUUCGGCAAUGGACGAAAGUCUGACCGAGCAACGCCGCGUGAGUGAAGAAGGUUUUCGGAUCGUAAAACUCUGUUGUUAGAGAAGAACAAGGAUGAGAGUAACUGUUCAUCCCUUGACGGUAUCUAACCAGAAAGCCAUGGCUAACUACGUGCCAGCAGCCGCGGUAAUACGUAGGUGGCAAGCGUUGUCCGGAUUUAUUGGGCGUAAAGCGAGCGCAGGCGGUUUCUUAAGUCUGAUGUGAAAGCCCCCGGCUCAACCGGGGAGGGUCAUUGGAAACUGGGAGACUUGAGUGCAGAAGAGGAGAGUGGAAUUCCAUGUGUAGCGGUGAAA